This is a long non-coding RNA of Lycium barbarum (goji berry), 1948 nucleotides long. RefSeq lists it as uncharacterized. The transcript is spliced from 2 exons. Lineage: Eukaryota; Viridiplantae; Streptophyta; Magnoliopsida; Solanales; Solanaceae. The record is from RefSeq and is a predicted model, not a curated record.
GUUAAAGGACUAUUUUAAGCCUUCCCUCUACUGGUAAAAUGGGCGCAAAAAACUUUGGAACAGAGAAACUGACAACCCUAAUGGAACCUGAGGGAGAUGAAGCAUCUCAUCAACACCCAAAAAGGUAAAAACCACAAAUAAUACUCAAUUUCCAUCCACUUCAAGCAAUAAAGAUUCAAUCUUGACAAACCCUAUCUUACCACAAGAACUCAUCACAUCAAUUCUUGUAAGACUUCCAGCCCUUAUUUUAUCAAGACCCAUCUUAGUUUUUCUGUUAAGAAUUGCACCCACUAUAGAUUACUGUUGAAAUUUAAACGCAAUAUAAAACAUUGUUCUGUUAGCUCUUUAUUUUAUGAGUCUGAUAUUAAGGCAUUGGACUUGGAUUAUCCCCUAAAAACCCCCUGUAAUUUUGUUCGUAUUGUGGGUUCUGUUAAUGGAUUGAUUUGUUUGCGUGUUGGGUUCAAUGGCUUGGUUCUGUGGAAUCCGUCAACUAGAAAGUUCAAGCAAGUAGCUAACCUUAUGUCACGUGUGGUUUUGGGUAUGAUGAGGUUCACGAUGAUUAUAAGGUAGUGAGUAUUUUCCUUGACAGUUAUAAUCGCUACGUCGAGGCCAAAAUAUAUAGUUUAAUGAGUGAUUCUUGGAGAACACUUGAUGAUUUCCAAGGCAAGGUGUUCCCCCGUCGUUCGAGCAAGUUGGUGAAUGGGAAGCCUCACUUGGUUACUGAUGAUGAUGGUUGGGGCAUCAUGUCCUUUGAUUUGGUUGAUGAGAAAUGUAGGAAGAUGGAGCAACCUUUCUACAACAACAACAACAACAACCCAGUGAAAUCCCACAACGUGGGGUCUGGGGAGGGUAGAAUGUACGCAGACCUUACUCCUACCAAGGUAGGACGGCUGUUUCCGAAAGACCCUCGGCUCAAUAAAAAAACAUAAAAAGAGGUCAGAUAAGGCUAAGAGAUUCAAAGCGAUAUGAAAUGAAAUAAAGCAAGCGACACAGAUAACAUAGGAUAAUCAAAGCACAGGAAAUAAUAGAUAAUAGCAGAAAUUAUACUGCGAUAAUGCGACUACUAAUAAGACAGAAUAACGAGACUAUCUACUAGCCUUCUACCCUAAUCUGGGUCCUCCAAACCCUCCUAUGGAGCAACCUUUCUAUAGAAGAGAAAAUUUAUGUUUGAAUCUUGGAGUGUUGGGAAGUGAUUUAUCUGUAAUCUGUAAUUAUUGGGGAAAUUUUCAGAUAACUCAAGCUGAGAUGUGGAUUAUGAAGGAGUAUGGGGUUAAGGAGUCUUGGACGAAACUUUACACCAUCAAAAAUCCUAAGGAUAUGCUUUCUCCAACCCUUUGCAUGUCAAAUGAAGGUGAAUUAUUGGGUGUUUUUGGAUCGACUUUAAUGAUAUACAAUUCAAAGGAUGACUUAAGAAGAUAUCCAGUGGUUACUAAUAUUGAUAGAAGUCUUGAGGCGGAACACUAUGUAGAAAGCCUAGUUUCUCCAAUUUUACAAAACGAACAAUGACACAACUUUGAAGGCUGCAAAAACUCGGGCAAAUGACAGUUUGUCGCAAAUGACAGUUUGUCGCUAACGACUUGUUUUAUCAUGCCUCUACUUUGUGGUCCUAAAGCUCGAUCACCUGUUUGGAAUCACUAUGAAAAGCUUGAAGAAAGUGAUGAUUGAUGGUGCCAUUCGCUGCAUACUUGGACUGGCUCCUUAAAGUUUCAUGUUAAGCGUUGUUUGGAUCGCAUGGAGCAGGAGCAUAUAACUAUAAAGAUUGAGUAGUUAUUGUUUAGUUGACUUGAAUAUGAACUAUUUAGUACUAUGUUUGGACUUAAUAUUCAAAUUGUGUGACUGUUGUUUUGGUUUUCUGAAACUCUGGUAGUGCUGGACAAUAUAUUGCUAGUGAACUGGCUGACUAAUGCUUAAUAUUCAAAUUGUGACUGCUGCAGACUGCAGUGCUGCU